This 1557-nucleotide ribosomal RNA is filed under the name Salmonella enterica. RNAcentral's name for it is "partial 23S ribosomal RNA". It matches the Rfam family "Bacterial large subunit ribosomal RNA", at positions 1262 to 2802 of the family's 2925-position model. Lineage: Bacteria; Pseudomonadati; Pseudomonadota; Gammaproteobacteria; Enterobacterales; Enterobacteriaceae. The record is from RNAcentral.
UGUGAGGGUUGCUGGAGGUAUCAGAAGUGCGAAUGCUGACAUAAGUAACGAUAAAGCGGGUGAAAAGCCCGCUCGCCGGAAGACCAAGGGUUCCUGUCCAACGUUAAUCGGGGCAGGGUGAGUCGACCCCUAAGGCGAGGCCGAAAGGCGUAGUCGAUGGGAAACGGGUUAAUAUUCCCGUACUUGGUGUUACUGCGAAGGGGGGACGGAGAAGGCUAUGUUGGCCGGGCGACGGUUGUCCCGGUUUAAGCGUGUAGGUGUGUGUUCCAGGUAAAUCCGGUUCACUUUAACACUGAGGCGUGAUGACGAGGCACUACGGUGCUGAAGCAACAAAUGCCCUGCUUCCAGGAAAAGCCUCUAAGCAUCAGGUAACAUCAAAUCGUACCCCAAACCGACACAGGUGGUCAGGUAGAGAAUACCAAGGCGCUUGAGAGAACUCGGGUGAAGGAACUAGGCAAAAUGGUGCCGUAACUUCGGGAGAAGGCACGCUGACAUGUAGGUGAAGUGAUUUACUCAUGGAGCUGAAGUCAGUCGAAGAUACCAGCUGGCUGCAACUGUUUAUUAAAAACACAGCACUGUGCAAACACGAAAGUGGACGUAUACGGUGUGACGCCUGCCCGGUGCCGGAAGGUUAAUUGAUGGGGUCAGCGCAAGCGAAGCUCCUGAUCGAAGCCCCGGUAAACGGCGGCCGUAACUAUAACGGUCCUAAGGUAGCGAAAUUCCUUGUCGGGUAAGUUCCGACCUGCACGAAUGGCGUAAUGAUGGCCAGGCUGUCUCCACCCGAGACUCAGUGAAAUUGAACUCGCUGUGAAGAUGCAGUGUACCCGCGGCAAGACGGAAAGACCCCGUGAACCUUUACUAUAGCUUGACACUGAACAUUGAGCCUUGAUGUGUAGGAUAGGUGGGAGGCUUUGAAGCGUGGACGCCAGUCUGCGUGGAGCCGACCUUGAAAUACCACCCUUUAAUGUUUGAUGUUCUAACGUGGACCCGUAAUCCGGGUUGCGGACAGUGUCUGGUGGGUAGUUUGACUGGGGCGGUCUCCUCCUAAAGAGUAACGGAGGAGCACGAAGGUUGGCUAAUCCUGGUCGGACAUCAGGAGGUUAGUGCAAUGGCAUAAGCCAGCUUGACUGCGAGCGUGACGGCGCGAGCAGGUGCGAAAGCAGGUCAUAGUGAUCCGGUGGUUCUGAAUGGAAGGGCCAUCGCUCAACGGAUAAAAGGUACUCCGGGGAUAACAGGCUGAUACCGCCCAAGAGUUCAUAUCGACGGCGGUGUUUGGCACCUCGAUGUCGGCUCAUCACAUCCUGGGGCUGAAGUAGGUCCCAAGGGUAUGGCUGUUCGCCAUUUAAAGUGGUACGCGAGCUGGGUUUAGAACGUCGUGAGACAGUUCGGUCCCUAUCUGCCGUGGGCGCUGGAGAACUGAGGGGGGCUGCUCCUAGUACGAGAGGACCGGAGUGGACGCAUCACUGGUGUUCGGGUUGUCAUGCCAAUGGCACUGCCCGGUAGCUAAAUGCGGAAGAGAUAAGUGCUGAAAGCAUCUAAGCACGAAACUUGCCCCGA